Long non-coding RNA from Gadus morhua (Atlantic cod), 1031 nucleotides. RefSeq lists it as uncharacterized. NCBI's taxonomy places the organism in Eukaryota, Metazoa, Chordata, Actinopteri, Gadiformes, Gadidae. The transcript has 2 exons. The record is from RefSeq and is a predicted model, not a curated record.
AGGCAGGGCACACACUCGAGGGUUUCAGGGGGCUUGACAACAUUAUACAAUACAACUUUGUAUCUAUUCGUUGGCAUUUUAAUGGGGAAUAAUUAGCCUCAAUCGAGAUAUGGUGUACUUGUGCCAAUUGAUUGUACACAUGCACCGCGUAGCUAUGAUGUAACUGCUGAAUUUGAUUUUUGAGAUUAUACAAAAUGAACCCUAAAUCCUAUCGCUAUCGUGUAUAUUUUACGUGUAAAUAGGGGUAUGCAAUGUAAGAAGUGUGAAUGCAAUAUUAUACAAAGAUUUAUUUUAAAUCAUCAAGGUAUGAUAGACUUGGAGAUCUUUUUCUGUCACCUCACCGUCAAGAACAUCACACAUUUCGUGCAGCCGGUGCAAAGUGCCACUCUGCAAACCCACCAAAAGGCGAUAGUAGAAAAAGGCCUAUUUUUUCUUUUGCGCGUGCACGGAAGCGCGCUCACGUUUGGCAGCUCCACGUCGACAUUCUUCCAGCUGCAGAGAGUGAACCGCACGGGACUGGAGGAAGAAAGGUAGAAGCAGCACAAGGUACCUCACGAAUGGUGUUCCGAGUCCGCGUAUGGACAUCUUACCCAGUGUCCUGGCGCCUUCGCCUUGUGUUCCUGGCAUGACACGUAGCCUAAUGUUUCCAGGUCUCUCUCUGCCUCUUUUGCCAUAUGUAAUCUACUGUAAGCCCUCGUGCUGUGGAGUGCAGCUGGUCUCUCUGCGUCUACCUCUACCAGGGUCAGGGGAGUCCUCAGCCCGCUGGCUGAUGCUCUGGAACCGUCUGCUACCCAGCGCCUGUGAGGUGGCACUGUGGCUCCCCAAAUAAAGUUCUGUGAUACACUCAGACUGUAAUUGACGGUAGUCAGUGCAUUACAGAACUUUGUUUUGGGAGUAAAGUACUAACCGGGAACCGACCGACCGACCGGCUGGAGUUUGUAUGAUUGUCUCCCCCAGAUGGGACACCGUUGAUUUAACAUGCCUUUGUGUUUUUUUUAAAUUGUUUUAAAUAAACGUUUGUUCUUGAUGCA